GACGAACGCUGGCGGCGUGCUUAACACAUGCAAGUCGAACGGAAAGGCCCUGCUUUUGUGGGGUGCUCGAGUGGCGAACGGGUGAGUAACACGUGAGUAACCUGCCCUUGACUUUGGGAUAACUUCAGGAAACUGGGGCUAAUACCGGAUAGGAGCCCCUGCUGCAUGGUGGGGGUUGGAAAGUUUCGGCGGUUGGGGAUGGACUCGCGGCUUAUCAGCUUGUUGGUGGGGUAGUGGCUUACCAAGGCUUUGACGGGUAGCCGGCCUGAGAGGGUGACCGGCGACAUUGGGACUGCGGUACGGCCCAGACUCCUACGGGAGGCAGCAGUGGGGAAUAUUGCACAAUGGGCGGAAGCCUGAUGCAGCAACGCCGCGUGCGGGAUGACGUCCUUCGGGUUGUAAACCGCUUUCGCCUGUGACGAAGCGUGAGUGACGGUAAUGGAUAAAUAAGCACCGGCUAACUACGUG
This 468-nucleotide ribosomal RNA is filed under the name uncultured bacterium. RNAcentral describes it as "partial 16S ribosomal RNA". It matches the Rfam family "Bacterial small subunit ribosomal RNA", at positions 28 to 507 of the family's 1533-position model. The record is from RNAcentral.